GACGAACGCUGGCGGCGUGCUUAACACAUGCAAGUCGAACGGAAAGGCCCUGCUUUUGUGGGGUGCUCGAGUGGCGAACGGGUGAGUAACACGUGAGUAACCUGCCCUUGACUUUGGGAUAACUUCAGGAAACUGGGGCUAAUACCGGAUAGGAGCUCCUGCUGCAUGGUGGGGGUUGGAAAGUUUCGGCGGUUGGGGAUGGACUCGCGGCUUAUCAGCUUGUUGGUGGGGUAGUGGCUUACCAAGGCUUUGACGGGUAGCCGGCCUGAGAGGGUGACCGGCCACAUUGGGACUGAGAUACGGCCCAGACUCCUACGGGAGGCAGCAGUGGGGAAUAUUGCACAAUGGGCGGAAGCCUGAUGCAGCAACGCCGCGUGCGGGAUGACGGCCUUCGGGUUGUAAACCGCUUUCGCCUGUGACGAAGCGUGAGUGACGGUAAUGGGUAAAGAAGCACCGGCUAACUACGUGCCAGCAGCCGCGGUGAUACGUAGGGUGCGAGCGUUGUCCGGAUUUAUUGGGCGUAAAGGGCUCGUAGGUGGUUGAUCGCGUCGGAAGUGUAAUCUUGGGGCUUAACCCUGAGCGUGCUUUCGAUACGGGUUGACUUGAGGAAGGUAGGGGAGAAUGGAAUUCCUGGUGGAGCGGUGGAAUGCGCAGAUAUCAGGAGGAACACCAGUGGCGAAGGCGGUUCUCUGGGCCUUUCCUGACGCUGAGGAGCGAAAGCGUGGGGAGCGAACAGGCUUAGAUACCCUGGUAGUCCACGCUGUAAACGGUGGGUACUAGGUGUGGGGUCCAUUCCACGGGUUCCGUGCCGUAGCUAACGCCUUAAGUACCCCGCCUGGGGAGUACGGCCGCAAGGCUAAAACUCAAAGGAAUUGACGAGGCCCCGCACAAGCGGCGGAGCAUGCGGAUUAAUUCGAUGCAACGCGUAGAACCUUACCUGGGUUUGACAUGGAUCGGGAGUGCUCAGAGAUGGGUGUGCCUCUUUUGGGGUCGGUUCACAGGUGGUGCAUGGCUGUCGUCAGCUCGUGUCGUGAGAUGUUGGGUUAAGUCCCGCAACGAGCGCAACCCUUGUUCACUGUUGCCAGCACGUUAUGGUGGGGACUCAGUGGAGACCGCCGGGGUCAACUCGGAGGAAGGUGGGGAUGACGUCAAGUCAUCAUGCCCCUUAUGUCCAGGGCUUCACGCAUGCUACAAUGGCUGGUACAGAGAGUGGCGAGCCUGUGAGGGUGAGCGAAUCUCGGAAAGCCGGUCUCAGUUCGGAUUGGGGUCUGCAACUCGACCUCAUGAAGUCGGAGUCGCUAGUAAUCGCAGAUCAGCAACGCUGCGGUGAAUACGUUCCCGGG
RNAcentral lists this ribosomal RNA (1343 nucleotides) under uncultured bacterium. RNAcentral's name for it is "16S ribosomal RNA". It matches the Rfam family "Bacterial small subunit ribosomal RNA", at positions 28 to 1378 of the family's 1533-position model. The record is from RNAcentral.